This 253-nucleotide ribosomal RNA is filed under the name uncultured bacterium. RNAcentral's name for it is "partial 16S ribosomal RNA". It matches the Rfam family "Bacterial small subunit ribosomal RNA", at positions 524 to 776 of the family's 1533-position model. The record is from RNAcentral.
GACGUAGGUGGCGAACAUUAUCCGGAAUUAUUGGGCGUAAAGAGCUCGUAGGCGGUUUGUCGCGUCUGCUGUGAAAACCUAAGGCUCAACCUUGGGCUUGCAGUGGGUACGGGCAGACUAGAGUGCGGUAGGGGUGACUGGAAUUCCUGGUGUAGCGGUGGAAUGCGCAGAUAUCAGGAGGAACACCGAUGGCGAAGGCAGGUCACUGGGCCGCAACUGACGCUGAGGAGCGAAAGCAUGGGGAGCGAACAGG